RNAcentral lists this ribosomal RNA (373 nucleotides) under uncultured organism. RNAcentral describes it as "partial 16S ribosomal RNA". It matches the Rfam family "Bacterial small subunit ribosomal RNA", at positions 526 to 896 of the family's 1533-position model. The record is from RNAcentral.
GUAGGGUGGCAAGCGUUGUCCGGAAUUAUUGGGCGUAAAGCGCGCGCAGGCGGUCCUUUAAGUCUGAUGUGAAAGCCCACGGCUCAACCGUGGAGGGUCAUUGGAAACUGGGGGACUUGAGUACAGAAGAGGAAAGCGGAAUUCCAAGUGUAGCGGUGAAAUGCGUAGAGAUUUGGAGGAACACCAGUGGCGAAGGCGGCUUUCUGGUCUGUAACUGACGCUGAGGCGCGAAAGCGUGGGGAGCAAACAGGAUUAGAUACCCUGGUAGUCCACGCCGUAAACGAUGAGUGCUAAGUGUUAGGGGGUUUCCGCCCCUUAGUGCUGCAGCUAACGCAUUAAGCACUCCGCCUGGGGAGUACGGCCGCAAAGGCUG